UGGGGAAUAUUGGACAAUGGGCGAAAGCCUGAUCCGGCCAUGCCGCGUGUGUGAAGAAGGUCUUCGGAUUGUAAAGCACUUUAAGGUGGGAGGAAGGGCAGUAAGCGAAUACCUUGCUGUUUUGACGUUACCGACAGAAUAAGCACCGGCUAACUCUGUGCCAGCAGCCGCGGUAAUACAGAGGGUGCAAGCGUUAAUCGGAAUUACUGGGCGUAAAGCGCGCGUAGGUGGUUCGUUAAGUUGAAUGUGAAAGCCCCGGGCUCAACCUGGGAACUGCAUCCAAAACUGGCGAGCUAGAGUAGGGCAGAGGGUGGUGGAAUUUCCUGUGUAGCGGUGAAAUGCGUAGAUAUAGGAAGGAACACCAGUGGCGAAGGCGACCACCUGGGCUCAUACUGACACUGAGGUGCGAAAGCGUGGGGAGCAAACAGG
This 429-nucleotide ribosomal RNA is filed under the name Pseudomonadota bacterium. RNAcentral describes it as "Proteobacteria bacterium partial 16S ribosomal RNA". It matches the Rfam family "Bacterial small subunit ribosomal RNA", at positions 355 to 776 of the family's 1533-position model. The record is from RNAcentral. Lineage: Bacteria; Pseudomonadati; Pseudomonadota.